ACACUGCUGAUGAGUCCCACAAUAGGACGAAACGGCCGUCCAGUGC
This is a non-coding RNA of Schistosoma mattheei, 46 nucleotides long. The record is from Rfam. Lineage: Eukaryota; Metazoa; Platyhelminthes; Trematoda; Strigeidida; Schistosomatidae.